CCUACGGGUGGCAGCAGUGAGGAAUAUUGGUCAAUGGUCGGGAGACUGAACCAGCCAAGCCGCGUGAGGGAUGAAGGUACAGAGUAUUGUAAACCUCUUUUGUCAGGGAACAAAGGCGGGGACGCGUCCCCGGAUGAGUGUACCUGAAGAAAAAGCAUUGGCUAACUCCGUGCCAGCAGCCGCGGUUAUACGGAGGAUGCGGGGGGUAUCCGGAUUUAUUGGGUUUAAAGGGUGCGCAGGCGGUCUGUUAAGUCAGCGGUAAAAGCCCGGGGCUCAACCCCGGCCCGCCGUUGAAACUGGCAGUCUCGAGUUGGAGAGAAGUAUGCGGAAUGCGCGGUGUAGCGGUGAAAUGCAUAGAUAUCGCGCAGAACUCCGAUUGCGAAGGCAGCAUGCCGGCGCCAGACUGACGCUGAGGCACGAAAGCGUGGGUAUCGAACAGGAUUAGAUACCCUAGUAGUC
Molecule: ribosomal RNA, 459 nt
Filed under: uncultured bacterium
Lineage: Bacteria
Description: partial 16S ribosomal RNA
Rfam family: Bacterial small subunit ribosomal RNA
Source: RNAcentral